This 253-nucleotide ribosomal RNA is filed under the name uncultured prokaryote. RNAcentral describes it as "partial 16S ribosomal RNA". It matches the Rfam family "Bacterial small subunit ribosomal RNA", at positions 524 to 776 of the family's 1533-position model. The record is from RNAcentral.
AACGUAGGAGGCGAGCGUUAUCCGGAUUCACUGGGCGUAAAGCGCGUGCAGGCGGUUCGGUAAGUUGGAUAUGAAAUCUCCUGGCUUAACUGGGAGAGGCUAUUCAAUACUACCGGACUAGAGAGUGGUAGAGGAAGAUGGAAUUCCAGGUGUAGUGGUGAAAUGCGUAGAUAUCUGGAGGAACACCAGUGGCGAAAGCGAUCUUCUGGACCAUUUCUGACGCUCAGACGCGAAAGCUAGGGUAGUAAACGGG